GCUAUAUCUAGGCGUCACGGUCCUUCGGACAUGGUCCGAAGGCUAAGAGGGAAUCCGGUGGGUCCGCAGAGCGGACGAUGCCGGAGCUGCCCCCGCAACUGUAAGCGGUGAGCCAACCGUCCAUUUUGCGUCACUGAAGCCCGUGCGCUUCGGGAAGGCCGGACGGAAGCGACGACCCGCGAGCCAGGAGACCUGCCGUGACCUGAAGUUGCAA
RNAcentral lists this non-coding RNA (214 nucleotides) under Pseudoxanthobacter soli. RNAcentral also lists the same sequence under 1 other name. The record is from RNAcentral. Lineage: Bacteria; Pseudomonadati; Pseudomonadota; Alphaproteobacteria; Hyphomicrobiales; Segnochrobactraceae.